AGAGUUUGAUCCUGGCUCAGAAUCAACGCUGGCGGCGUGCCUAACACAUGCAAGUCGAACGCGGUUAUCCAGCAAUGGAUAACUGAGUGGCGAACGGGUGAGUAACACGUGGGUGACCUACCUUCGAGUGGGGGAUAACGUCCCGAUAGGGACGCUAAUACCGCAUAACAUCCUGCCUUUGAACAGGUGGAGAUCAAAGCCGGGGAUCGCAAGACCUGGCGCUUGUUGAGGGGCCCGCGUCUGAUUAGCUAGUUGGUGAGGUAACGGCCCACCAAGGCGACGAUCAGUAUCCGGCCUGAGAGGGCGGACGGACACACUGGGACUGAGACACGGCCCAGACUCCUACGGGAGGCAGCAGUGGGGAAUUGUUCGCAAUGGGCGCAAGCCUGACGACGCAACGCCGCGUGGAGGAUGAAGGUCUUCGGGUUGUAAACCGCUUUCAGUUCCGACGAAGCGCAAGUGACGGUAGGAACAGAAGAAGGACCGGCCAACUACGUGCCAGCAGCCGCGGUAAU
RNAcentral lists this ribosomal RNA (515 nucleotides) under uncultured soil bacterium. Its description in RNAcentral is "bacterial SSU rRNA". It matches the Rfam family "Bacterial small subunit ribosomal RNA", at positions 8 to 524 of the family's 1533-position model. The record is from RNAcentral.